This 345-nucleotide unclassified non-coding RNA is filed under the name soil metagenome. RNAcentral describes it as "partial contains 5.8S ribosomal RNA, internal transcribed spacer 2, and large subunit ribosomal RNA". The stretch from base 1 to 120 matches the Rfam family "5.8S ribosomal RNA", at positions 35 to 154 of the family's 154-position model. The record is from RNAcentral.
GAUGAAGAACGUAGCGAAAUGCGAUACGUAAUGUGAAUUGCAGAAUUCAGUGAAUCAUCGAGUCUUUGAACGCACAUUGCGCCCCCUGGUAUUCCGGGGGGCAUGCCUGUCCGAGCGUCAUUGCUGCCCUCAAGCACGGCGUGUGUGUUGGGCCUCCGUCCUCCUCCCGGGGGACGGGCCCGAAAGGCAGCGGCGGCACCGCGUCCGGUCCUCGAGCGUAUGGGGCUUCGUCACCCGCUCUUGUAGGCCCGGCCGGCGCUUGCCGACACAUCAAUCUUUUUUCCAGGUUGACCUCGGAUCAGGUAGGGAUACCCGCUGAACUUAAGCAUAUCAAUAAGCGGAGGA